AGGGCUGACGGAGAUUCGUACUGGAUUGGCCUGAAUGACGUACGGAAGGAAGGGAGUUUCGUGUGGAGUGAUGAGGCAAAAUCUCCUGCCGUGUACACCAACUGGCACCCGGACCAACCUGAUAACGGUGGCGGGGAGGAUUGUGUAGAAAUGACGAGGAACCAGGACUGGAAUGAUCUACCCUGUUCAUCGAAGUUGAACUUCAUUUGCGAAAAAGAAAUGACUCAUUGGACCUGCCCGCCUAUGUACGGAGUGAAUGCGUUUAGAGGCAAGUGUUUUAAAUUCUCCGUGCGCAGAGUGACCUUCAACAAGGCUAAGGCCAUCUGCCGGACAGACGGGGGGCGACUUGCUGUCCUCAAGGACAAGGGAACAGACGUCUUUAUC
Long non-coding RNA from Branchiostoma belcheri (Belcher's lancelet), 384 nucleotides. RefSeq lists it as uncharacterized. The transcript has 3 exons. The record is from RefSeq and is a predicted model, not a curated record. NCBI's taxonomy places the organism in Eukaryota, Metazoa, Chordata, Leptocardii, Amphioxiformes, Branchiostomatidae.